RNAcentral lists this ribosomal RNA (1158 nucleotides) under Saccharata eucalypti. RNAcentral's name for it is "eukaryotic LSU rRNA". It matches the Rfam family "Eukaryotic large subunit ribosomal RNA", at positions 94 to 1426 of the family's 3401-position model. The record is from RNAcentral. Lineage: Eukaryota; Fungi; Ascomycota; Dothideomycetes; Botryosphaeriales; Saccharataceae.
UGAAGCGGCAAUAGCUCAAAUUUGAAAUCUGGCCCUUUCAGGGUCCGAGUUGUAAUUUAAAGAGGAUGUUUCGGCGAGUGCUCCCGUCUAAGUUCCUUGGAACAGGACGUCAUAGAGGGUGAGAAUCCCGUAUGUGAUGGGUUGCGCGAGCCAUGUGAAACUCCUUCGACGAGUCGAGUUGUUUGGGAAUGCAGCUCUAAAUGGGAGGUAAAUUCCUUCUAAAGCUAAAUACCGGCCAGAGACCGAUAGCGCACAAGUAGAGUGAUCGAAAGAUGAAAAGCACUUUGGAAAGAGAGUUAAAAAGUACGUGAAAUUGUUGAAAGGGAAGCGCUUGCGACCAGACUUGCCCGCAGUUGCUCACCUCGCCUUCUGGCGGGGGUACUCUUCUGCGGUCAGGCCAGCAUCAGUUCGAGCGGCCGGAUAAAGGCGUCGGGAAUGUAGCUCCUCUCGGGGAGUGUUAUAGCCCGGCGUGGCAUGCGGCCAGCUUGGACUGAGGAUCUCGCUUCGGCUAGGAUGCUGGCGUAAUGGUCGUAAGCGGCCCGUCUUGAAACACGGACCAAGGAGUCUAACAUCUAUGCGAGUGUUUGGGUGUCAAACCCAUGCGCGUAAUGAAAGUGAACGGAGGUGGGAACGUUUCGGCGUGCACCAUCGACCGAUCCUGAUGUCUUCGGAUGGAUUUGAGUAAGAGCAUAGCUGUUGGGACCCGAAAGAUGGUGAACUAUGCCUGAAUAGGGUGAAGUCAGAGGAAACUCUGAUGGAGGCUCGCAGCGGUUCUGACGUGCAAAUCGAUCGUCAAAUUUGGGUAUAGGGGCGAAAGACUAAUCGAACCAUUGGAACUACUACUAGGUGGUUAAGAGGGGGCAGCGGUGCCCCUUAGUCCCCCGUCCGGGGCGACACCGUCAAAUUGCGGGGACACCCUUAGAGCUCGAACUACCGCGGCCGGUCCGAAAGGACGGGUGCAGCACCUGGCUAGCAGCCACGGGUAUGGUAACAACGUUCGAGAUUGGGCAACCACGCAGCCAAGCCCUAACCCUCCCCCAGCGGGAGGCACGGGUGCAGUUCACAGACUAAAUGGCGGUGGGUAUGCUGGAAGCGUGCCUAAGUUAUAGUCGAUUCCCCAUCGAAAGGUGGGUGGUGGAGCAAAGUCUGGCAGGCUGG